RNAcentral lists this ribosomal RNA (735 nucleotides) under Carabhydrus niger. RNAcentral's name for it is "partial 16S ribosomal RNA". The stretch from base 1 to 532 matches the Rfam family "Bacterial large subunit ribosomal RNA", at positions 1923 to 2925 of the family's 2925-position model. Lineage: Eukaryota; Metazoa; Arthropoda; Insecta; Coleoptera; Dytiscidae. The record is from RNAcentral.
UUUAAUGGCCGCAGUAAUUUGACUGUGCAAAGGUAGCAUAAUCAUUAGUUUUUUAAUUAAAAGCUUGAAUGAAUGAUUGGACGAAAUAAAGUCUGUCUUUAUAUUAAAUAUAGAACUUAAUUUUUAAGUAAAAAAGCUUAAAUAUUAGUAAAAGACGAGAAGACCCUAUAGAUCUUUAUACAAUAUAGUUUAUUUUUAAUUAAGAUUAUUUAAUGAAUUAGAUUUUAUUGUAUUUUAUUGGGGUAAUAAAAAGAUUAAUUAAAUUCUUUAUUUAUUUCACAAAAAUUCUUGAAUUAAUGAUCCUUUAUUAUGGAUUUAAGAUUAAGUUACCUUAGGGAUAACAGCGUAAUUUUUUUAGAGAGUUCUUAUCGAUAAAAAAGUUUGCGACCUCGAUGUUGGAUUAAAAAUUAAUUUUAGGUGUAGUAGUUUAAAAUUUUGGUCUGUUCGACCAUUGAAUUUUUACAUGAUCUGAGUUCAGACCGGUGUAAGCCAGGUCGGUUUCUAUCUUUAUUUAAUUAAAAUAUUUUAGUACGAAAGGACCAAAUAUUAAUUAUAAUUAUAUUUAUUUAUUUUGAAUAUUAUUAUUAUUUUGGCAGAUUAGUGUGUUGAAUUUAGAAUUCAUAAAUGUAAUAUUUAUUACAAAUAAUAUUGUUUAUUUUAGAUUUAUUAAUUCCAUUUAUUUGUAUAUUAUUAUUAGUAAUUUGUGUGCUUUUAGGGGUCGCUUUUUUAACUUUU